GAAGAGGGAGAGAGAGUGCUGGAAGGAUCUAUGAACAAUAGAGAAAGAUACAAUAGAGAUUGGGGGAUUUAACGUGUAUGAGCUGGAAUGUUUUGGACUAACCUGUUGGCAUUUGGACCUGGACCUACUGAGAACCCAAUUCGUGUACCGAACCCUGCUAUCGUUGACCUCGCCUACGGCCUGGGUGGACCAGGAUGGAGAAACAAACACACAGGUCGGUGGCUCCAGAAGGGCUCCAGCACAGGGGAGCAUCUCCUGCCGUGAAUCCCAGCAGAGGGCCACUUCACUGGGCUGGGGGAGCAGCUGGGUGACAUGCUGGUUCUCCACUCUUUCAUCUCCUAGGGGGACGGCAGACUGUUUGCAUGUGUGUGUGCGUGCACCCAUGCAUGCGGAUGUGCAGGCGUGUGUAUUAGGUUGGAAUGGCAGGAACACGGUUAGCAACAUUUACAGAGAUUUACCACCCAAAAUCACUCCCUUUUCCCGAGACAAAUAACUUUGAGAAAACGGUAAAUAAAAAUAAAUGGAACUGUUAAACUAUA
Molecule: long non-coding RNA, 539 nt
Organism: Oncorhynchus kisutch (coho salmon)
Lineage: Eukaryota; Metazoa; Chordata; Actinopteri; Salmoniformes; Salmonidae
Exons: 2
Source: RefSeq, a predicted model, not a curated record